This 887-nucleotide ribosomal RNA is filed under the name uncultured Bdellovibrio sp. Its description in RNAcentral is "bacterial SSU rRNA". It matches the Rfam family "Bacterial small subunit ribosomal RNA", at positions 56 to 958 of the family's 1533-position model. Lineage: Bacteria; Pseudomonadati; Bdellovibrionota; Bdellovibrionia; Bdellovibrionales; Pseudobdellovibrionaceae. The record is from RNAcentral.
UGCAAGUCGAACGGGGAAAGCUUUCGGGUGAGUACUAGUGGCGCACGGGUGAGGAACGCGUGGAUAAUCUGCCUUAGAGUGGGGGAUAACUAGUCGAAAGAUUAGCUAAUACCGCAUAAGACCACAGGAGCUGCGGCUCAAGGGGUCAAAGGUUUUUCGCUCUAAGAUGAGUCCGCGUAAGAUUAGCUAGUUGGUGAGGUAACGGCUCACCAAGGCGACGAUCUUUAACUGGUCUGAGAGGAUGAUCAGUCACACUGGAACUGAGACACGGUCCAGACUCCUACGGGAGGCAGCAGUAGGGAAUAUUGCACAAUGGAGGAAACUCUGAUGCAGCGACGCCGCGUGAGUGAUGAAGGCCUUCGGGUCGUAAAGCUCUGUCGCAGGGGAAUAACACAAUGAAUGUACCCUGUAAGAAAGGAUCGGCUAACUUCGUGCCAGCAGCCGCGGUAAGACGAGGGAUCCUAGCGUUGUUCGGAAUUAUUGGGCGUAAAGCGGAUGUAGGUGGCUUUGUAAGUCAGAUGUGAAAGCCCAGGGCUCAACCCUGGAAGUGCAUUUGAUACUGCGAAGCUUGAGUGUCGGAGAGGUUACUAGAAUUGUUGGUGUAGUGGUGAAAUACGUAGAUAUCAACAGGAAUACCGGAGGCGAAGGCGGGUAACUGGCCGAACACUGACACUGAGAUCCGAAAGCGUGGGGAUCAAACAGGAUUAGAUACCCUGGUAGUCCACGCCGUAAACGAUGGAUACUUGUUGUUGGAGGUAUUGACCCCUUCAGUGACGAAGCUAACGCGUUAAGUAUCCCGCCUGGGGAGUACGGUCGCAAGAUUAAAACUCAAAGAAAUUGACGGGGGCCCGCACAAGCGGUGGAGCAUGUGGAUUUAAUUCGAUGCA